UACGUAGGGACCGAGCGUUGUCCGGAAUCAUUGGGCGUAAAGAGCGUGUAGGCGGCCACUUAAGUCCUGCGUGAAAUCUUGCGGCUCAACCGCAAGCGGUCGUGGGAAACUGGGUGGCUAGAGUGCGGGAGAGGAGAGUGGAAUUCCUGGUGUAGCGGUGGAAUGCGCAGAUAUCAGGAAGAACACCUAUGGCGAAGGCAGCUCUCUGGGACGGUACUGACGCUGAGACGCGAAAGCGUGGGGAGCGAACAGG
This 253-nucleotide ribosomal RNA is filed under the name uncultured bacterium. Its description in RNAcentral is "partial 16S ribosomal RNA". It matches the Rfam family "Bacterial small subunit ribosomal RNA", at positions 524 to 776 of the family's 1533-position model. The record is from RNAcentral.